CCUGGAGACUCCUACGGGAGGCAGCAGUGGGGAAUAUUGCACAAUGGGCGCAAGCCUGAUGCAGCGACGCCGCGUGAGGGAUGAAGGCCUUCGGGUUGUAAACCUCUUUCGUCAGGGAACAAGGCAUUGCCUUUUUUGGUGGUGUUGAGGGUACCUGGAUAAGAAGCGCCGGCUAACUACGUGCCAGCAGCCGCGGUAAUACGUAGGGCGCAAGCGUUGUCCGGAAUUAUUGGGCGUAAAGAGCUCGUAGGCGGCUGGUCGCGUCUGUCGUGAAAACUUCCGGCUCAACCGGGGGCUUGCGGUGGGUACGGGCCGGCUAGAGUGCGGUAGGGGUAACUGGAACUCCUGGUGUAGCGGUGGAAUGCGCAGAUAUCAGGAAGAACACCGAUGGCGAAGGCAGGUUACUGGGCCGUUACUGACGCUGAGGAGCGAAAGCGUGGGGAGCGAACAGGAUUAGAAACCCCAGUAGUCC
This 472-nucleotide ribosomal RNA is filed under the name uncultured bacterium. RNAcentral's name for it is "bacterial SSU rRNA". It matches the Rfam family "Bacterial small subunit ribosomal RNA", at positions 328 to 796 of the family's 1533-position model. The record is from RNAcentral.